This 46-nucleotide non-coding RNA is filed under the name Schistosoma curassoni. The record is from RNAcentral. Lineage: Eukaryota; Metazoa; Platyhelminthes; Trematoda; Strigeidida; Schistosomatidae.
CCACUGCUGAAGAGUUGCACAAUGGGACGAAACGGCCGUCCAGUGU